CGCGGCCUAUCAGCUUGUUGGUGAGGUAACGGCUCACCAAGGCAUCGACGGGUAGCUGGUCUGAGAGGACGAUCAGCCACACUGGGACUGAGACACGGCCCAGACUCCUACGGGAGGCAGCAGUAGGGAAUCUUGCGCAAUGGGCGAAAGCCUGACGCAGCAACGCCGCGUGGGGGAUGAAUGCCUUCGGGUUGUAAACCCCUUUCAGCAGGGACGAAAAUGACGGUACCUACAGAAGAAGCUCCGGCCAACUACGUGCCAGCAGCCGCGGUAAUACGUAGGGAGCGAGCGUUGUCCGGAAUUAUUGGGCGUAAAGAGCUCGUAGGCGGUUCAGUAAGUCGGGUGUGAAAACUCAAGGCUCAACCUUGAGACGCCACUCGAUACUGCUGUGACUUGAGUCCGGUAGAGGAGUGUGGAAUUCCUGGUGUAGCGGUGAAAUGCGCAGAUAUCAGGAGGAACACCAGCGGCGAAGGCGGCACUCUGGGCCGGUACUGACGCUGAGGAGCGAAAGCAUGGGGAGCAAACAGGAUUAGAUACCCUGGUAGUCCAUGCCGUAAACGUUGGGCACUAGGUAUGGGAUCAUAUCAACGGAUUCCGUGCCGUAGCUAACGCAUUAAGUGCCCCGCCUGGGGAGUACGG
Molecule: ribosomal RNA, 639 nt
Filed under: uncultured Actinomycetes bacterium
Lineage: Bacteria; Bacillati; Actinomycetota; Actinomycetes
Description: bacterial SSU rRNA
Rfam family: Bacterial small subunit ribosomal RNA
Source: RNAcentral